UUUAGAUGGAGUCUCACUCUUGCCCAGGCUGGAGUGCAAUGGUGUGAUCUUGGCUCACUGCAACCUCCACCUCCUGGGUUCCAGUGACUUUCCUGCUACAGACUCCCAAGUAGCUAGGAUGGCAGGUAUGUACCACACUCGGCUAAUUUUUGUAUUUUUAGUAGAGACGGGUUUCACCAUGUUGGCCAGGCUGGUCUUGAACUCCUUACCUCAAGUGAUCUGCCCACCUUGGCCUCCCAAAGUGCUGGGAUUACAGGCGUGAGCUACCACACCCAGCCUUCUGCUCUAUUCUUUUUUUUUUUUUUGAGACAGAGUCUUGCUCUUUGCUCAAGCUGGAGUGCAGUGGCAUGAUCCUGGCUCACUGCAAACUCUGCCUCCCAGGUUCAAGUGAUUCUCCCGUCUCAGCCUCCUGAGUAGCUGAGAUUACAGGGGUGUCCACCAUGCUCAGCUGAUUUUUGUGUUUUUAGUAGAGACGAGGUUUCAACAUGUCGGCCAGGCUGGUCUUGUACUCCUGACUUAAAGUGAUCCACUUGCCUCAGCCUUCCAAUGUGCUGGGAUUACAGGCAUGAGCCACCGUGCCCAGCCUAUUCUUAAAGAAUAAUUACAAAAUGAACAUCCUGAAACCACCAUGUAGGCCAAGCUAUAGAAUGCCCUCACACGCCGAGCCUGCAGGUUACAUUCCCUCUGCAUCUUUUCCCUGUUACAAACUCCUCCUAUCCCAGAAGUAACCACUCUGCUGAUGUUGGUCAUUUUCUUACCUGUACUACUUCUGCAUGCAUUCCUAAACAAUAUAGCUUAAUUAUGCCUGGUUUUGAACUUUAAAUUAAAGGAAGCAUACUACAGGUAUGUAUUCUUCUGUGUUUUGCUUCGUUUACUUAAUGUUGUAGGUUGAUUCACCUAUAUUGUUAGUACAUAUGACUUAUCAAUUUCCAUUGCUAUAUGAAAAUACCAUUUCACUGCAUGGAAAUAAGCAGUAAAAUAUGGCAGGGCGAGGUGGCUCACACUUGUAAUCCCAGAACUUUCGGAGGCCUGCAUGGGGUGGAUUAUUUGAGGUCAGAAGUUCGAGACCAGCCGGCCAACAUAGUGAAACCCCAUCUCUACUGAAAAUACAAAAAUCAGCCGGGAAUGGUGGCUCAAGCCUGUAAUCCCAGCACUUUGGGAGGCCGAGGGGCAUGGAUCCUGAGGUCAAGAGAUCGAGACCAUCCUGGUCAACAUGGUGAAACCCCGUCUCUACUAAAAAAUACAAAAAAUUAGCUGGGCAUGAUGGUGUGUGCCUGUAAUCCCAGCUACUCAGGAUGAUGAGGCAGGAGAAUUGCCUGAACCCAGGAGGCAGAGGUUGUGGUGAGCUGAGAUCACGCCAUUGCACUCCAGCCUGGGUAACAAGAGUGAAACUCGGUCUCAAAAAAAAACUAUAAAACAAAAAUCAGCUGGGCGUGGUGGCGGACACCUGUAAUCCCAGCUACUCGGGAGGCUGAGACAGGAGAAUCACUUGAAUCCAAGAGAUGGAGAUUGCAGUGAACCAAGAUCAUGCCACUGCACUGCAGCCUGGGCAACAAAGAUUAAAACUCCGUCUCAAACAACAACAAAAAGAAUAAAAAUACAUUUUACUGUAGAUGAAUAUUUAGGGUAUUUUGGUAUUUGAACAAUGACACCAUGAACAUUACUGUCCUGUAUUUGGCACACAAGUAAAAGACUUUUCUAGGAAAUGUUUGGGUUGUUUGCUAUGAGUUUCUUCAUAAUGUCAAAUAAUUUUUUUUUAAAGUGUAUAUACAUUUAAAAAAAUGUAUGUAGUCCCAAUAUACACUCCCAUAACAGUAGAUGAGAAUUCCUAUUGCUGUGCAUCUUUGCCAAUAUUUGAUAUUGUUACAGUUUAUAAUUUUUUUGUUUUUUGAGAUGGAGUUUUGCUCUUCUUGCCCAGCCUGGAAUGAAGUGGCACGACGAUCUUGGCUCACCGCAACCUCCACCUCCCAGAUCCCAGCAAUUCUCCUGCCUCAGCCUCCCGAGUAGCUGGGAUUACAGGCAUGUGCCACCAUGCCCUGCUAAUUUUGUAUUUUUAGCAGAGACGGAGUUUCUCCAUGUUGGUUAGUCUUGUCUCGAACUUCUGACCUCAGGUGAUCCCCUCGCCUUGGCCUCCCAAAGUGCUGGAAUUAUAGGCGUGAGCCACCAUGCCCAGCCACAUUUUAUAAUUUUUUGUGUCCAGGAACAGUGGUUCACACCUAAAAUCCCAGCAGUUUGGAGGUCAAGACAGUAGUUUGAGACUAGCUUGGGCAACAUAGCAAGACCUCAUCUCUAAAAAAAAAAAAAAUAGCUGGGUACUUCAUAUUUUCAUAUACUUUUUCUUAUUUCAUCUCCUAUAUGUUUUUGAUAAAUACAAGUUGCAAGUAGUUUGUUUAUUGAUUUUAUAUCUAGCAAACUUGCUAAAAUUUUGAAUAAAUUUUAGUAAUUUUUCUGUAGAUUCCUCGGGAUUUACGGGUGUGUAAUUUUAUCAUCUGUUAAGAAUGUCAAUUUUCUUUUCUUUUCUUUUCUUUUUCUUUUUUUUUUUUUUGAGACAGAGUCUUGCUCUGUCUCCCAGGCUGGAAUACAGUGGUGAGAUCUUGGCUCACUGCAACCCCCACCUCCCAAGUUCAAGCGAUUCUCCUGCCUCAGCCUCCCAAGUAUCUGGGAUUACAGGUGUGCACCACCAUGCCUGGCUAAUUUUUUUUUCUUUUUUAAAUGGAAUUUUGCUCUUGUUCCCCAGGCUGGAGUACAAUGGUGUGAUCUUGGCUCACUGCAACUUCUGCUUCCUGGGUUCAAGCAGAUUCUCCUGUCUCAACCUCCUGAGUAGCUGGGAUUACAGGUGCCUAUCACUAUGCCUGGCUAAUUUUUGGUAUUUUUAGUAAAGACUGGGGUUUCAAGGGCCGGGCGCGGUGGCUCAAGCCUGUAAUCCCAGCACUUUGGGAGGCCGAGGCGGGUGGAUCAUGAGGUCAAGAGAUCGAGACCAUCCCAGUCAACAUGGUGAAACCCCGUCUCUACUAAAAAUACAAAAAAUUAGCUGGGCAUGGUGGUGCGUGCCUGUAAUCCCAGCUACUCAGGAGGCUGAGGCAGGAGAAUUGCCUGAACCCAGGAGGCGGAGGUUGCGGUGAGCCGAGAUCGCGCCAUUGCACUGCAGCCUGGGUAACAAGGGCGAAACUCCGUCUCAAAAAAAAAAAAAAAAAAAAAAAAAGACUGGGGUUAUUUGUGGCCUAGUAAAAUUGUUUUUGUUUUCUGUAGAGGAUUAUCAUUUGAAAAUAUAUCAUUUAUGGCUUGAAGUUUUUUGAACCAUUCAGAUGCUGUAAAUUUGGGCUGAGGUUUGAAUGAGAGCUCAUGGUUACAACUUCUCAUGAAUAGAUAAUCCCCAAGGGACCAAGACAAUGUUUGUUUUUGUGUUUUGAGUUGAGGUGGGGAGUGGAUCAUAUGGCGAUGACUACCUUCUGGUUCAUCCUUACCUUUAGGGCAUAAUCUUUUUGGGGUGCCAGGUUUAUGGGACAGAAUUUUCCUCUUAGGCUAUGCCUUCGGCAAGAUUUGGGCUUUAAAGUCUGCUUCUACCUACUCUAGGAGACCAUCAAAGCUGAAUAUCAACCUGAAUAGAUAGGGAGGGGAGAGCUUUGAUGCUUCCCUUAGGGGAAUUUAUCAGAAUUAAGAGUGGAAGGUGGUGAUUUCUGUCAGGGAUAAUUAUGUAUAUAUAUGUACAGUAUAUAAAAACAUAGCUUGGAUUUUUUUUAAAAGUUGAGAAACACUAUUCUGUAAUUGUAUUAAAUCCUGUUUUCUAAAAUUUCACUGAAAUUGCAAUUCUACAAAUUCUGUAAUAAAGUUCUUUUAUAUUUUGUGAUUCCUUAGAUAAUGUGCUGAAAACUAUAGAUAACUUUUCUCCAGAGAUAAUUCACAUAUGCACACCUAUAAUUGCAGAUGGUUUAAGAGAUCCUCUAAAGUACAUUCAUGGAGUCAGUGUAAGAACGUAAGCUCUAAAAGGCCGGGCAUGGUGGCUUGCAUCUGUAAUCUCAGCACUUUGGGAGGCCGAGGCAGGUGGAUCACCUGAGGUUGGGAGUUCGAGACCAGCCUGACUAACAUGGAGAAAUGGCUGUCUCUACUAAAAAUACAAAAUUAGCCAGGCGUGGUGGCACAUGCCUGUAAUCCCAGCUACUCGGGAGGCUGAGACAGGAGAAUCGCUUGAACCCAGGAGGCAGAGGUUGCGGUGAGCUGAGAUCACACCAUUGUACUCCAGCCUGGGCAACAAGAGCAAAACUCCAUCUCCAAAAAAGAAAAAAAAAAAAAAAGAAAGUAAGCUCUAAAAAUACUGGAUAACGACUUGAAUUUCCAAAAAUAAAGAAUAGUUAAAUAAGUAUGGCCAUGCAUGAAAACAGAAUUUUAUGAAGACAUUAGAAAGAAGGUAACUUUAUAUAUACCAAUAUAGAUAGAUGCUAAAGAUACAAUUUCAAGUAAAAAGAGCAAGUUGCAGAGCAUACUAGAAUAAUUUUGUUUGUAUACAUAUUAUGCAUGUUAUGAUUCCAUUUGUGUAUGUGUAUGGAAAAUAUCUGGAUUACACAAGAAAUUUGGACAAAGUGGCUGGAUGAGUAUUAUGGAGACUUUUUUCUUUUCUUUUUUUUUUUUUUUUGAGACAGAAUUUCGCUGUUGUUACCCAGACUGGAGUGCAAUGGCGCAAUCUCGGCUCACUGCAACCUCUGCCUUUUGGGUUCAAGCAAUUCUCCUGCCUCAGCCUCCCGAGUAGCUGGGACUACAGGCGCGCACUACCAUGCCCAGCUAAUUUUUGUAUCUUUAGUAGAGACGGGGUUUCACCUUGUUGACCAGGAUGGUCUCGAUCUCUUGACGUCAUGAUCCACCCGCCUCGGCCUGCCAAAGUGCUGAGAUUGUAGGCGUGAGCCACUGCGCCCGGCCUGAGACUUUUUUCUUUAAAGUUAAAAGACAGUUUUGGACUUUCCAUCCUGACUUGACUCAUCAUUGGUUGAUCAUCUUGCUUUUGAUUCUCCUCUUCAAGUUUUCCAUUUCUUAUUUAUGUGUAAUGCCCUGACAUUAUAAGAAUAAAAUCCAGAUAUAUGUAAAUUA
This is a long non-coding RNA of Callithrix jacchus (white-tufted-ear marmoset), 5079 nucleotides long. RefSeq lists it as uncharacterized. NCBI's taxonomy places the organism in Eukaryota, Metazoa, Chordata, Mammalia, Primates, Cebidae. The record is from RefSeq and is a predicted model, not a curated record.